CCUACGGGAGGCAGCAGUGAGGAAUAUUGGUCAAUGGACGCAAGUCUGAACCAGCCAAGUAGCGUGCAGGAUGACGGCCCCCCGGGUUGUAAACUGCUUUUAGUUGGGAAUAAAAGGGGGCUCGUGAGCCCCGUAUUGUAUGUACCAUCAGAAAAAGGACCGGCUAAUUCCGUGCCAGCAGCCGGGGUAACACGGAAGGUCCGGGCGUUAUCCGGAUGUAUGGGGUUUAAAGGGAGCGGAGGCCGGCUGUUAAGUCAGUUGUGAAAGUCCGGGGCUCAACCGUGGAAUGGCAGUUGAAACUGGAGGCCUUGAGUGCACACAGGGAAGACGGAAUUCAUGGUGUAGCGGUGAAAUGCUUAGAUAUCAUGAAGAACACCGAUCGCGAAGGCAAGUGUCCGGGGUGCAACUGACGCUGAGGCUCGAAAGUGCGGGUAUCAAACAGGAUUAGAUACCCCUGUAGUC
RNAcentral lists this ribosomal RNA (462 nucleotides) under uncultured bacterium. RNAcentral's name for it is "partial 16S ribosomal RNA". It matches the Rfam family "Bacterial small subunit ribosomal RNA", at positions 338 to 795 of the family's 1533-position model. The record is from RNAcentral.